AGCAGCAGUAGGGAAUCUUCCGCAAUGGACGAAAGUCUGACGGAGCAACGCCGCGUGAGUGAUGAAGGUUUUCGGAUCGUAAAGCUCUGUUGUUAGGGAAGAACAAGUGCCGUUCAAAUAGGGCGGCACCUUGACGGUACCUAACCAGAAAGCCACGGCUAACUACGUGCCAGCAGCCGCGGUAAUACGUAGGUGGCAAGCGUUGUCCGGAAUUAUUGGGCGUAAAGGGCUCGCAGGCGGUUUCUUAAGUCUGAUGUGAAAGCCCCCGGCUCAACCGGGGAGGGUCAUUGGAAACUGGGGAACUUGAGUGCAGAAGAGGAGAGUGGAAUUCCACGUGUAGCGGUGAAAUGCGUAGAGAUGUGGAGGAACACCAGUGGCGAAGGCGACUCUCUGGUCUGUAACUGACGCUGAGGAGCGAAAGCGUGGGGAGCGAACAGGAUUAGAUACCCUGGUAGUCCACGCCGUAAACGAUGAGUGCUAAGUGUUAGGGGGUUUCCGCCCCUUAGUGCUGCAGCUAACGCAUUAAGCACUCCGCCUGGGGAGUACGGUCGCAAGACUGAAACUCAAAGGAAUUGACGGGGGCCCGCACAAGCGGUGGAGCAUGUGGUUUAAUUCGAAGCAACGCGAAGAACCUUACCAGGUCUUGACAUCCUCUGACAAUCCUAGAGAUAGGACGUCCCCUUCGGGGGCAGAGUGACAGGUGGUGCAUGGUUGUCGUCAGCUCGGUCC
This 729-nucleotide ribosomal RNA is filed under the name Bacillus sp. (in: firmicutes). Its description in RNAcentral is "bacterial SSU rRNA". It matches the Rfam family "Bacterial small subunit ribosomal RNA", at positions 347 to 1066 of the family's 1533-position model. Lineage: Bacteria; Bacillati; Bacillota; Bacilli; Caryophanales; Bacillaceae. The record is from RNAcentral.